This 359-nucleotide ribosomal RNA is filed under the name uncultured bacterium. RNAcentral's name for it is "partial 16S ribosomal RNA". It matches the Rfam family "Bacterial small subunit ribosomal RNA", at positions 338 to 695 of the family's 1533-position model. The record is from RNAcentral.
CCUACGGGAGGCAGCAGUGAGGAAUAUUGGUCAAUGGGCGCGAGCCUGAACCAGCCAAGUCGCGUGAGGGAAGACGGUCCUAUGGAUUGUAAACCUCUUUUGUCGGGGAGCAAACGCCGCCCCGCGUGGCGUUCCGAGAGUACCCGAAGAAAAAGCAUCGGCUAACUCCGUGCCAGCGGCCGCGGUAAUACGGAGGAUGCGAGCGUUAUCCGGAUUUAUUGGGGUUAAAGGGUGCGCAGGCGGCGGGUCAAGCCAGCGGUAAAAUUGAGAGGCUCAACCUCUUCGAGCCGGUGAAACUGGUUGUGUGGAGGGAGCGGGAAGGAUGGGGAAGGGGGGGUGGAGCGGUGAAAUGCAUAGAU